Molecule: long non-coding RNA, 1443 nt
Organism: Acanthopagrus latus (yellowfin seabream)
Lineage: Eukaryota; Metazoa; Chordata; Actinopteri; Spariformes; Sparidae
Exons: 4
Source: RefSeq, a predicted model, not a curated record
CUUCUUAUAAGUCUUGUGAAGGACUUGUUGAAUAUGGUGUUGGCAAGAAGUAUAAAAUGCAGGUUUCCUUCAAAAACAUUCCAGGCUUUGUGCAGCAUCAGAAAUCCAAGGCAAGGUAAAAUGUAAUUAAAAUGACAAAUGUGAAUUAGAGAUUUCCCCGAGCCUAGCGAUGGGAAUUUCUUAUGCGGUAAUCCUCUUGGGACCGUCUCUUUUCUCCAGGAGUCUGAUAAUGUGAUUUUGUCCGAGUCAAACUUUUUCUCCUUACUUGGAGUUUCCUCACGCUGAGAUACGCGUUAGGAAAAAUGUAUUUCUCAAGGCCGUAUUGAAGCUCUGAAGGACUCAUCACUGUCGGUCAUUUAAAAACCUUACUGAUGUGUAAAAUAAAGGUGUUUAAAUCGAGCCCUGCAGUGUGCCUUGGGCUGCAUUUUCUAUCUAAUCAAGACUUCCUUUUCCUCACAUGCAGUUUAGCCCUUAAUUAUACAGAGUACAAACACCUGUAUGUGAUCACCAUAAAGACACGGCAGCACCUCCCUUCCACUGUCUUCACAAACUAUUACACCUUUCUCCCUCCCAUUCGUAUAAAAAUUCACUUUUUUCACACUAAAAUGCCUCGCAGGCGAACGCUGAGAAUGAUAAUCUGCACUCCUCGUCGUCCCCCUCUGAGCCGGCUGCAGCCAUCGAGGCGGAAGGAGAUCCUGUCAGGGGCGAUAUAUGCUCUGGCCGCAGGGGAACUGGCCUGCAUGCGGAAGAGUCGCUGCAACCCUGGCAGCAGCUAACGUGGAUCCAACUGAAUAAACAAAGAAGAAAGACACAAAGACUGAAAGCUAGCACGCUUAGUUUCAAUGUGGUCCUCGAUGCAAGGGAAUACGGAGACAGUCACCAACAAAUGACCAUAAAUUGCACAAAAACAGUACUGCAAACGCGGACAGCCAGUGAUGCAUUGCUGCCUGAAGGCCUACAAGCUUCCAGCCUCUGCUUUAUGUGGUCAUUUUUCUCCAACUUGCUUCAUGUCCGUGUACAUGUCACAGUUUGGGCUUUUGGUUUAAUUAUGUCCUGUUUUAUUUUGUAGUUCUUUUCCCAUGUGUUUUGUUCUGCGCUUCACUUCCUCCCAUUUUUCCUUUUCUUCUCUCCUGUCACCUGUAUUCCAUUUGUAAAUUAGUCCCAAAAAGCCUGUGUUUUUCUCUUACUCAUGGUCAGCUUGUUGGUUCUGUUACCAAAUUUCGGUCCUGUGUCUCCUGUGUUCCCGCCUCUGUUCCUAGUGUUCCUGUCUGGGCUCCUUGUUUUCCUCUCAUUGCUCCUUGUGUUCUUAUCUGAGUUCCUAGUGUUCCUGCCUGUGUUCCUAGUGCUUCUGCAGUUUGUACCCUUUUUAGAUUUUGUGCUUUUGCUUUUAUGGAUUUGUUAUAGACCUCAGCUUUGUUAUUAAAGCUCACCUUUUGUUCUUUA